Molecule: ribosomal RNA, 253 nt
Filed under: uncultured bacterium
Lineage: Bacteria
Description: partial 16S ribosomal RNA
Rfam family: Bacterial small subunit ribosomal RNA
Source: RNAcentral
UACGUAGGGUGCGAGCGUUGUCCGGAUUUAUUGGGCGUAAAGAGCUCGUAGGCGGCUUGUCGCGUCGGAUGUGAAAGCCCGGGGCUUAACUCCGGGUCUGCAUUCGAUACGGGCAGGCUAGAGUGUGGUAGGGGAGAUCGGAAUUCCUGGUGUAGCGGUGAAAUGCGCAGAUAUCAGGAGGAACACCGGUGGCGAAGGCGGGUCUCUGGGCCGAUAUUGACGCUGAGGAGCGAAAGCGUGGGGAUCAAACAGG